AAACGACUCUUGGCAACGGAUAUCCCGGCUCUCGCAUCGAUGAAGAACGUAGCGAAAUGCGAUACUUGGUGUGAAUUGCAGAAUCCCGUGAACCAUCGAGUCUUUGAACGCAAGUUGCGCCCGAAGCCACUAGGCCGAGGGCACGUCUGCCUGGGUGUCACGC
Molecule: ribosomal RNA, 163 nt
Filed under: Torilis japonica
Lineage: Eukaryota; Viridiplantae; Streptophyta; Magnoliopsida; Apiales; Apiaceae
Description: 5.8S ribosomal RNA
Rfam family: 5.8S ribosomal RNA
About the family: 5.8S ribosomal RNA (5.8S rRNA) is a component of the large subunit of the eukaryotic ribosome. It is transcribed by RNA polymerase I as part of the 45S precursor that also contains 18S and 28S rRNA.
Source: RNAcentral